UACAGAGGGUGCGAGCGUUGUCCGGAAUCACUGGGCGUAAAGGGCGCGUAGGCGGCUUGCCAAGCGUGCGGUGAAAGCCCGGGGCUCAACUCCGGGUCGGCCGUGCGAACUGGCAGGCUUGAGUCUGGUAGAGGCUGAUGGAAUUCCGGGUGUAGCGGUGGAAUGCGUAGAGAUCCGGAAGAACACCGGUGGCGAAGGCGGUCAGCUGGGCCAGAACUGACGCUGAGGCGCGACAGCGUGGGGAGCAAACAGG
Molecule: ribosomal RNA, 253 nt
Filed under: uncultured bacterium
Lineage: Bacteria
Description: partial 16S ribosomal RNA
Rfam family: Bacterial small subunit ribosomal RNA
Source: RNAcentral